ACGACUAUAUGAGACAUGAUAACUUGUUGCCCAUUACACUGUUGGAAAAGGUAUAUUAAAACACAAACCAUCUAUAUCCAACAAUGGUGACCAGGUUUAUAAUGAGUUGAGACAACAACUACAAUAUCGUGACCAAGCUUAUGAUGAUCUCAAACAGUGAUUUGGAAUCUCCAAAGUUUGGUCAUGGAGAUUCUUGAGUCCUGAUGCACAACCUAUGGUACAGUCUCA
This 228-nucleotide long non-coding RNA is filed under the name Vigna radiata. RNAcentral's name for it is "long non-coding RNA (VRAD_LNC005236)". The record is from RNAcentral. Lineage: Eukaryota; Viridiplantae; Streptophyta; Magnoliopsida; Fabales; Fabaceae.